Molecule: small RNA, 280 nt
Filed under: Microtus ochrogaster (prairie vole)
Lineage: Eukaryota; Metazoa; Chordata; Mammalia; Rodentia; Cricetidae
Description: Metazoan signal recognition particle RNA (ENSMOCG00000012107.1)
Rfam family: Metazoan signal recognition particle RNA
About the family: The signal recognition particle (SRP) is a universally conserved ribonucleoprotein. It is involved in the co-translational targeting of proteins to membranes. The eukaryotic SRP consists of a 300-nucleotide 7S RNA and six proteins: SRPs 72, 68, 54, 19, 14, and 9.
Source: Rfam by way of RNAcentral
GCCGGGCGCGGUGGCGCACGCCUGUAGUCCCAGCUACUCGGGAGGCUGAGACAGGAGGAUUGCUUGAGUCCAGGAGUUCUGGGCUGUAGUGCGCUAUGCCGAUCGGGUGUCCGCACUAAGUUCGGCAUCAAUAUGGUGACCUCCCGCGAGCGGGGGACCACCAGGUUGCCUAAGGAGGGGCAGAUGCGAGCCACAGCCUGAUUCCACACUCUUAAUCUAGAAGAUAAAUACAGACUGUAUGAGCCACACUCUUAAUCUAGAAGAUAAAUACAGACUGUAU